UACCAAAGCCAUAUCACUCUGCAGAUGAAGACCGGUUACUCACAAAAGCUAAGAAGGGCUGAGCUUGGUCAGUAGCUGAAUGGGAUCCCACAGGGGAAAAACUAAGUUGCUGUUGGAA
RNAcentral lists this ribosomal RNA (118 nucleotides) under Danio rerio (zebrafish). The record is from RNAcentral. Lineage: Eukaryota; Metazoa; Chordata; Actinopteri; Cypriniformes; Danionidae.